Molecule: ribosomal RNA, 516 nt
Filed under: uncultured bacterium
Lineage: Bacteria
Description: partial 16S ribosomal RNA
Rfam family: Bacterial small subunit ribosomal RNA
Source: RNAcentral
UGGGGAAUUUUGGACAAUGGGCGCAAGCCUGAUCCAGCAAUGCCGCGUGCAGGAUGAAGGCCUUCGGGUUGUAAACNGCUUUUGUACGGAACGAAAAGCCUCUCUCUAAUACAGGGGGGUGAUGACGGUACCGUAAGAAUAAGCACCGGCUAACUACGUGCCAGCAGCCGCGGUAAUACGUAGGGUGCAAGCGUUAAUCGGAAUUACUGGGCGUAAAGCGUGCGCAGGCGGUUUUGUAAGACAGUGGUGAAAUCCCCGGGCUCAACCUGGGAACUGCCAUUGUGACUGCAAGGCUGGAGUGCGGCAGAGGGGGGAUGGAAAUUCCGCGUGUAGCAGUGAAAUGCGUAGAUAUGCGGAGGAACACCGAUGGCGAAGGCAAUCCCCUGGGCCUGCACUGACGCUCAUGCACGAAAGCGUGGGGAGCAAAACAGGAUUAGAUACCCUGGUAGUCCACGCCCUAAAACGAUGUCAACUGGUUGUUGGGGAUUUAUUCCUUCAGUAACGAAGCUAACGCGU